CCGGAGCCCGGAGCGUGACCGGGGAGGAGGGAGCCGGGCAGCCACGGCGGCCUCGUGCUCAGCCUGUGCCCGCCCAGGGAACCGGAGCCUCCAACUAACUCCGCCCGCCGCCCGCGGGCUGGGGCUUCCGUCCCGUCCCGUCCCGGAGAGAGCCUGCGGCCGCCCGCGCAGGAAAGCUUUGACAUUAAAACUUGCUUUCCCACAUAUUUAUGGAGGGAAUACUCCUGCCCUCUGAAACUUGCUGGAAUAACUUGCUGGAUCUGAAGAAGAUAAAAUAGCAUUUUCUGCUGGCUCACAAAGGACAGAAAGAUGGGGAAGGGACCUUCAGGAUUCUGAGAAGAGGAAAUUGAUGUUUGCAUUGCUGCCUGUAAUUUUGAAAUACUAAAGUUACCCUGGAUGUCCCAGAUUCUGUGAAGGAGAAGCCCACUGCUAACUGG
Molecule: long non-coding RNA, 437 nt
Filed under: Cricetulus griseus (Chinese hamster)
Lineage: Eukaryota; Metazoa; Chordata; Mammalia; Rodentia; Cricetidae
Description: lncRNA (ENSCGRG00015037317.1)
Source: RNAcentral